CCCUUAGAUGUCCUGGGCCGCACGCGCGUUACACUGAUGCAUUCAACGAGCUUAUAACCUUGGCCGAGAGGCCUGGGCAAUCUUGUUAACGUGCAUCGUGAUAGGGAUAGAUUAUUGAAAUUAUUAAUCUUGAACGAGGAAUUCCUAGUAAACGCAGAUCAUCAAUCUGCAUUGAUUACGUCCUUGCCCUUUGUACACACCGCCCGUCGCACCUACCGAUUGGAUGGUCCGGUGAAGCCUCGGGAUUGUGGUUCUUGCCGCUUUAUUGUGGCGUGACCGCGAGAACUUGUCUAAACCUUAUCAUCUAGAGGAAGGUGAAGUCGUAACA
RNAcentral lists this ribosomal RNA (328 nucleotides) under uncultured eukaryote. Its description in RNAcentral is "partial 18S ribosomal RNA". It matches the Rfam family "Eukaryotic small subunit ribosomal RNA", at positions 1470 to 1796 of the family's 1831-position model. The record is from RNAcentral.